Bombyx mori (domestic silkworm) is the source of this 986-nucleotide RNA transcript. RefSeq lists it as uncharacterized. Lineage: Eukaryota; Metazoa; Arthropoda; Insecta; Lepidoptera; Bombycidae. The record is from RefSeq and is a predicted model, not a curated record. The transcript is spliced from 5 exons.
UUAUACACUUAAUAUAUUAUGUGUCAUGUUUGUUGGCGUUCGUCGCGUGAACGUUUCAUAAUUUCACAAUUACUAAUAUAUAAGAUUAAGAAAAAUAAUGUCUGAUAAGCGAAUAGAAUCGAUGCUCUUCGAUUACGGCACAACAAACCGUACUGACUAUAGAAAUGGCGAAAUUAGGCCACAAUCAAUUACUGUGUACAACGAAAAACCACGGAGAGCACCACCGAAGCUGCGUCCACUUAAAGACGUCCACACGCUUUCCGAUUGGAAGGCUGAAGCGAUAUCUUUCAGUUUGUUACAUAGACCGAAGCAGAUAUUGGGCACCGAUCCUAGGAUUGUUCAGCAGCCUUGCGAAAAACCUAAAGACACAGAAAGAGAAAUCGCUCAAAGGACCAGACCCCGCAUAGUGAUGACCCCGGCAGUCAGUAUGGACGACAUUGAAAAUCCAAGAGCCAGGGAUAUAUUAUGUAACGACAUGUACACUAGCGACACCAGCAAAGGACUAAGGGAAGCUGUAACUUCAUAUUUCAGUGUCAAGGCUCCUUUACCUGGAUUACCAGCUGCUGCCAACCCUGUAGCUUUGGCGAAACUGCAACCUCCAUACGUAUCUCCUGAGUGGCGCAUGGAAUCAGUUUCUUGGGAUGGAAAGCAAUUAAGAGCCCAUUGUGAUCCAAGUAAAGAAUUUUGGCUAGAUUAGUUAUAAAAUACAUCUAAUGAAGAAAACAAAAUACAGACUAAAAUUAAUCAAUAUCUCUAUUUGUGUCUAUAUCAUUAAAUUAGUGCAAACCGUGCGACGAGUCUGCUCGUGUGAGAGAGUAUCGAAAAUAUUCGAAAAAGUUGUAGACUCCAUUUCUAACAGUUUUCAAACAUCAUUACUGUGUUUUUAAUUUAGAAGAAUUAUAAUUUUUAAGCAUUUUAGUUUGUAGCAUAAUGUUUAAUUAUGGUUUAGUUUCUAGUUCUUAUUAAUAAAAAAAUAUAUUAUAGUA